AAAAUGCUUUUGAGUAAAUACAGUGCCUCGGGUAAAUACACAGUAGGCGUGCCUGCUCUUCUCACAGAGCUGGUAGUGCAGGGAGUGGUGGGUGGCCAGCCCUGCCUCUGACCUGCUGGAGGGGUAAGUAACCUCAGAAGAGACGGACUUUCUUCAGGAAGUACACAAGUGACUGGGUCCCUCCCUUGUACCUCAGCAUGAAACACCUCUGACUGUUCUGGGCAAGGGCGUAUCAGGAAAUCCAGGGAGCUGGCAAAGCAGGCUGCUGUAACAGGCAGAUGCUUUUCUAGAAAGGGAACAAGCUCAUCCUUAAAGUGCAUCAUUGAGUCAUAAAAAGGGAGACCAGAGCAGGUAUGAGAUGCAGGAGAAAAAAUGACAUUGAUGUUGCUCAGAGGUGCAGAUCCCAAACAGAGAAGACAAGAGUGGGUUUGUUUGCAAGUAAGACCCUCAAAUAGCAGUCUAACAAGAUCAUAUUAUUGUUGUUGUUGUUGUUGUUAUUAUUAUUAUUAUUAUUAUUAUUAAAGAAGACAUGUCCAGGUACUCACCUGUCAGUGUCUUACAUAUCAGCGACUGAAGCAGAGUCCACCUCUCUGCUUAACUUUUAUCCACAUUUAGCUUUUAUCCCCAAGACAAUAUCAAAGUUCCUGCUUGCAUCCAUGUUCUAGGUGGCUCCAAAGAGAAAGUGGGGGUCCAAGUGGACACCUGUCACUUACAGUUGAACUAUGUGGGAGCCAACUCCACAACUUACCAGCUUCACAGCCCUGGCACUUUCCACCUGCUGCAUACUGUUUGCUGACGACUCAGAGGAAAUACUUGUUUGUAUUUCUGUUUGGAAUAUCUGUUAGAAUACGGUCCUGGUAAAGAAGUCUAUCGUAAGUAUAAUUCUCUUUUAUUCUCUUCUACAUAGUUCCCCAUGCGUCCCCUUUUGUGUUGGGCUUACUGCAGCUCCGUUUUUCUGAUUGUGAACUUUAAGUUGACAGUGUUUAUCUUUUCUCAACCAUUCUCCAAGUACCUAGGCCGCAGCUACAUAGCGAGUUUGAGGCCAGCCUGGGGAGUCAAGCUGCUCCUUCCUUAGUACUUCUGCUCCGAUGAAUAGGUCAUUUGGGGUAACUCGUCCAAACUCACAGUCCUUUCAAGCUGGACAGUCAGAAACCACAAGUGGAGAGGCAGCCAUGAAGUCAUGGUACAGCAUGUGAUCCCAGGGCUUGUGCUUUGCAGAGAGCAUCUAUUUAUUGCUGGAGAAGGGGAGCAUCUAAGACGACAUCCUCCAGCAUCAUCAGAAAGAUCCAGCCAUUUCCUAACGAGUCAUAUGGAAAACAGCAGUUCACAUGCAAGCUCCUUCCUGUUUCCCCGUAAGGAGUAGCUGCUGCCUUCUCCCUCCAUGCAGUGUCCUGUAGACCUGGUCAGGAUAAGUCCAUCUUCUUUCUUCAGUUCCCUGGCCCUUACCCUGGGACAUAGACAACCAAGAAGCCCAAGCCACAGAUCCACUGUUCAGCACAGACCUAUCUCUCCAGCCAGAGCUACCUGAGUCAGCGUGUGCACACAGGUCACUUGGCUUUUUUUUUCCUUUGUAAAAGGAAAAGGCAAAAAAAUUCACGGCUUAAAAGUAGAAGUGUCAAGAUGGUGUUACAAUUAUAGCACCAAAGUCUGGAGAGAUGCCUCAGACAUGGAAAGCAUUAAAAUAUAGAAAGCUGGCUUUCCAAAAUAGCUUUAUGGCACUGAUUUAAAUGGUUUGGAUUUCUCCCCUUUAAAGUUUAUUUUACUUUCCCUUCUUUUGAUUGUAAUCAGUCAUCUGAAGGAUAACUGGUAAGGAGCCUUGUCAGCGUAGGUAGGUGGCACCUCUGUCUUCCAAAAGGCAACGUGGAGGAGGCCUUUCAGAUCAUAAAUGUCUCUUCUGUGAUUGUGUUUCCUUUGGUGAGUACACUGGGGACGACGAGCCUCGCUUGUGAUGGGUAAGCACUCCAUCACUGAGCCGCUCGGCACCCCCAGGCUUAAGGAGCAGAAGUUUUGAAAUGAGCUAUCGAAAGGACAUUGGGGAAAAGGGGGAUAGAGGGGUCUUCAAGUACAAUGGUUCAGACAGCAGCUGUAUACACGUAAGGAGGGCAUAGCACUCCAGAGCUGAAGGCCAAGGCUAUUUCCCUUUCAGGUUUGAAAACAAGGAAAAAGCAAAUUAGGCACCUUGAGUACCCGCACCAUGAAAACUGUCACCCAAAGCCUUUCUUCACGGAUGAGAAAUGUCAAGGGUAUUUCUAAGUUAAUUGGACACACCAUCAAGUAUGGCGGUCUCAAGUGCAUAUCCUUUGAAAGACUCGGAGUUGAUGUCUUUUGAGCCAGUGCCUUCAUGAAGAUCUUUAAUCUUCAGCAAAAGAAAAAAUGUGGUAAGCUCUAUAUCAGUUCUAAUUUUUAAAUUAGAACAAAGGUCUCUGCUCAGGAUGGUUGCUACUGGAAGGGGCCACAUCAUCUUGAGACACGUGGGAGGCUGAAAACCUAGCUGGUUAGCUACUCGGCCAGUGAGUGAAACACAGAGAAGAGUUUGCAAUGCUUUCUCCAAGCUUCCGCCACCCUCAUUAAUGAAUGACACCCACAAUGAAAACAGUGCGUCUUCUCAAGGAGAGGUAGCAGAAUAAGGCAGCAUCCUAACACUGAUGGCCAUGUUCUUCUGACUCUAUCAGCCUCUGCAGCUUGCGUGUGGCAUUUCCAAUUCUGUGUAACUAUAGCCUUCCAGACGUGCUCUUUUUUGUCCUAUGCCUACACUGCAAAGAGAUAAAAGUCAAAUUUUAGUUUUAAAGUUCAUUUUUUUAAUGUUUAUGUAACCAACUUAUGAGAGCGAGUGCUAUACCCAUAGACAAUUCCAGGAAGUCUAGCGAUCGUACAGGAUGCUGCGGAAGGUGCUCAGAUAAUGGAGGAAUCUGCCCGCAGUGAUGAAUGAGCCUUUGAGCCAAAAUGUCAGGCAGGUCAGCUAGCAAAAUGGCAGCUGUAAACAGCCCAGGCAGAGGGCAGGUUUGCUAUGCAUGCUGCUGCUGGACAUCAAUCACCUGAUGCAGAAGAGCUCUGCGAUCAAGCUACCACAAAGGAAAUUGACAAAUUUGUAAACAGAAAGACUUCCUCAGACCGUAAAGUGCAGGAAUGUGAGUGACAGGGCAUUAAGUCCUGAAGGGAAACCCACGCCAAUCGUCUGUUCAUUCAUUCAUUUAGCAAACAUCCUUUGAGUGUCUGUUUAAGUACCAGAUACCAGAACGUCCUGGCGUUAUAAAGAUGGAGUAAAUGGCUCUGUGCUCCAUAACUGUUGGGUCUCAUUGUAACAAAUGCCUUUUGUAUAUGCUGGACAAAUGCACACGCAUAGGUGCAGCAAAGGACACUGCAGAAACGUUGUAAUUGCUGUUGGUGACAUUCCACAGAUGGGAAACAAUGGCAGUAAGAACCAGAGAACACACAAUAAAUACUCUUCGGCAACAGAAAUAACACAGUGACCAGGCUGCGGGUGAAUGCUGCAGGCGGAGCUGACGUAAGGACAUCACACUACAUGAGCCUGUUUACGUAACAUUUAAAGGUGGAAAACCAUGGCACUAGAGCACAGAACACGGCUUUCAUGGAAGAUGAGGAGUGAGUGUCAGGUUAGUGAGGAAGGGGACUGCUGGGUACCAUUCGAUUUGUGAGCUGAGUGGUAGGCACCCCAAUGUAGUUGUUAUAGGUGUCUCUUUGCUCGUGGGUCCUCAUCAAGGACAGAGCAAGACUCAGAGAAAGAAGCAGCAAGUCAGACUUCUCAGAGCAAAGGAAGAUUGCAUGCAUGUAGAUCUGAGGAUCCACAGGGCACACCUUUUACCUACCACAUUUGUGCUUCUUCCCAGCAUCUUCUCGCUACCGUUUGGCUGGAGGCCUUAAGGGAUGUUUCCCUACCCCAACACGUUUGCUACAACUCCUCAUGUUGUGGUGACACCCGGUGCAUAAACUCAUUUCCACUGCUACCUCGUAACUGUAGCUUUGCUACUGUUAUGAAUGAAUCAUAAUGCAAAUAUUUGAUAUGUGACUCCCAAAUGAGUUGUGAGCCACAGGUUGAGAUUCCCUGACUUAGAACCUUUGGAUCUAGAAAGUUUCUGUUCCUUUUGAGAUUGCUCUGGCCCUUGUGGUCGGUGUCACGGCUACAUGUCUUGAGCUUGUCUCCCUACAUUGGUCAGGUGAAAAUGGCUGGAUCCAUGCCUGCCUCUCAGGUGACUUCUAGGCUGUGUCAAUUAAUACCACCUAAGACAAUUUCCUUCUCUUUCUUCUCUAUUCCUGCUUCUCCUUCAUCCUUACUGGGAUGUCUUAGAUGUUACGUCAUUCUUCUGAAAUUCUGUCAGUAUUUGGGUUUUUUUUUUUUUGCUUGUUUGUUUUCAUUUUUUAAGACAGGGUUUCUCUGUGUAGCCCUGGCUGCUUUGGAGCUCAUUCUGUAGACCUGGCUGGCUUAGAGAUCCACCUUUCUUUGUCUCCCAAGUGCUGGGAUUAAAGGUGUGUGCCACCACCACCAGCUUUGUCAACAUUUUUAACAAGACCUUUUUUAGUAAAGAUAUAAUCACCAUAUUGUUAAUAUACCUAGCAAAAUUAUCAAUAAUUCCUUUGUAAUGGAAUACUGAGCAUUUCUAGUUUUUUUUUUUUUUUUAAAUUUGGAUGUCUUUCACAAUUGAUCAGUAGUUUUCUGGAAAUUUGCCCCCUCCCUCCCCCCUUUUUUAAUUCUUAAGAGCCCAUCUUUUUUAUCCUCCUUUCAUGUAAUAAUUUAUUACAGAAACUGGCUUACACUGGUUUGCUUUUUACGGUAGGAGGUUCCCCUCCUGAGCCUGCUAUAGUGCUUCUGCUUCUCAUUCCUUUGUUUAGCGAUGGGUCUCAUAUAGCACAGCUUGGCCUCCAACUUACUAUGUACCCAACGAUGACCCUAAACUUCUGAUCCUCCUACUUCUACCUCCUGAGUGCUGCUGGGAUUUUAGGAAUGUGCCUCAGUGCCCAGUUUUAUGGCGUUUGGAGAUCAAGCCAAGGCUUUUGUGUAUGGUAGGUGACCAUGCAACUCACUUGGCUACAUCCCUUACUUUCCUUCUGCUGGUAAACAUGUUUGUUCCUCUAUCUCCUGGGCCGUCCAUCCUACACAGUGUGGGGUUCAACUUUGGUUUAAGUCAUUCAUCUGUGUUGAGCCUUAAUCUUCAUGGCUUUAAUGUGCUUUAAGACUCUGUGUAGUUUCUUCCCGAAGCUCUUUGUUUUUGUUUGGUUUCAGUUUCUAUUUUAUACAGCUCUUAACUUUGACAGUGGCUUCUUGCUCUAUUAAUAGUCCCCAGACACAUAGUCAACUGCAACUGAAACCUCCAAGGUCAAGUUCUGGGUCCUUCCCAUCCCAGAAUGCCUCUGGGAGAAAACUUCCUUUCUUAUUCCUCGUGUGCUUAGCUUAUUAUCAUCUUUUGAAUUUAGAGUCCUGCAGCUGUCUUAGAAGACAGACUGGGUCACUCUCCCAGAAGGGGUGUCAGAAAGCUCACAGCGAAGGGAAUACUUAGCUGUUGCUACAACUGGAAAUUCUUCCUCCCAUUCCACAGCACUUCACUGUGUGGACCAACAAAUACUAGGUACAAAGCCAACUGAAGUCAACUGCCAAGUAAGGGACUGCCAUUCUAUUAGCCCUCCUAUACAGUUGGUAAGUCUGCUUGUCCUAUUUCCACUCUGACAGUCUGAAUGACUCUCUAGUAUUAGCAUUCCUUUUUCCCCAACACUAGCACAAAAAAUGUUAGUAAUUACCGAAGUUAGAUAAGUCAUGGUGCGCACAAUGAUCCCCCUUUUAAAAUAAAAUAAUAAAACUGGAAAAUGAUUAAUUCUUUCCUCAUGCCUGAGUCAGGUAUGCUUGAGUCGGUCACUGUCGCAUUGACUGGGGGAGCUUAGAAGCUGUCUUUUGAGUCGAUGGCUCAAACAAGCUUCGGCCUCUCCUGGUGCACAAGACCAUCGCAUUUGAUGCUAUUUAUUACGACUGAACCCUGUUCGUGUGGUAUCAGCCUUGUCUCUGUGGAAGCCCGUCUAUUAUCAAAAGCCUCUGCGUGCUUUAUGUUCAAAGCGCCCAGCAAUGGAUAGAAAGCCAGGACUGUCCUAGAUCAGGGGACCGUCACAUCACCCAGAAGCUGAGGAAAUGAUUACAAGGCACCUGUCUGAGCUCUGCAUGGUCCUGCUGGAGAGAAGCAAAACACCCUUCAGGUCUUGUAAUUUAACUGCUGCCAGUCAUAUCUCAGAACAAGUUUAGGUCAGCUUCUGAAGAUGUUUCAAGUUUAUUAUAUGCAAUUACUAUAGCCUGAUUUUACGCAGAGAUCACCUGACUUCCCAAGACUUCCCUCAAGCCCAGGAUUGAUUGACCUCAGACAUGAUGACACAAUAGAAGAAUGACAUGAAUUUUGUCUGAGGGCAGUUAGCGGGAGGCUGGAGGCUGAAGGCUCGAGGCUGGAGGCUGGAGGUGCAUGUGGGUAGUGGGACCUCAGAACAGGGUGACAAAGAGCAAGUGGGAGCUGCAUAUGUUGUAUGCCUGUGUCUUCCCAGCCCAGACCUUGUAAUGAAAUGUAAGAGAUGAACAAAAGUUUAAGGAAGUGUAAGGCACAGUUAACAGUUAACGGUCCUAUGGCCUUUUAAACACACACACACACACACACACACAUAUACAUAUAUAUAUGUAUGUAUGUAUGUAUGUAUGUAUGUAUGUAUGUAUGUAUGUAUGUAUGUAUAUAACUGCAGGAGCUUGUAGAAUCCAGGAGAGGCCUCAGAGAAGUGAAGUUACAGAUGGUUGUGAGCCAUCACGUGAAUGUUAAGAAGGAAACUAGUCCUCUGUGAGACUAGUAAGUACUCUUAACCAGCUACUAAGCCAUCUCUCUGGCUCCUUAAGUUAAUUCUUAAAAUAAGUUUAAAGAAUUAAGUACUGAAAAACCAACCCAUUUUUUUCUCAGUAAUCUUUUGUUGUUAGCAAUCUGUUUAUUUUCAGCUUGGACAUUCAUAAUCACACUCCUUUAAAACAUUCUCUUUACCCUCUAGGUAUGUCUCUUGGAGAUAUGGCUUCAGUCAAGUAGUCUAAUCUACAUGACUGCAUCUAAAAGAAACCCCUACUUUUGGAGAUAAAAUGGAAUACUUGUCCACUUGGUACUAGGGAUCAAAAAAUUGGCAUACUUUUGCACAUUAAAAUCAAUAGAAUAGUGCUGGAGAGAUGGCUCAGUGGUUAAGAGCACCCGACUGCUCUUCCAGAGGUCAUGAGCUCAA
This is a non-coding RNA of Rattus norvegicus (Norway rat), 7242 nucleotides long. NCBI's taxonomy places the organism in Eukaryota, Metazoa, Chordata, Mammalia, Rodentia, Muridae. The record is from RefSeq and is a predicted model, not a curated record.